Molecule: long non-coding RNA, 202 nt
Filed under: Corvus moneduloides (New Caledonian crow)
Lineage: Eukaryota; Metazoa; Chordata; Aves; Passeriformes; Corvidae
Description: lncRNA (ENSCMUG00000019277.1)
Source: RNAcentral
AAAGGUCACUCAGAAGAAGAAUUCAGCUAAAUAUGAAACAACCUUUUGCUGGAAACUCAUACCUGCCUCUCACAUCCUUUUUGUAUCCUACAGGUCCCGGGAGCUGUCCCUUAGCAAACUGCUGAAGUUUAGCACCACCACAAGCACAGAACGUACCCCCAGCUCCUCUGUGGCCAGAAAAGCAGGUCUGGCAGAACAAAGA